AUGGACAAGAAGCGAAGUAAAUCAAGUGAUGCAUCAUCAGGAAGUAUGUUCCCAAUGCAGAGACGCAGUGGGCGAAAUCGAGAACCUUCCUCGCCUCUCAGAAAAAGUCCCUCACCCUCACCUCCCUCUCAACGAGUGCUUCGAGCGCGAAAAAGUACCUAUUUCGGAGAAGUGGAUUCCUCUGAUGAGGAUGAAGACUUUGAAUUUUUAAUUGCAUCAGGGAAGUUUCUCAAUGAAAGUGAAGCAGGCAGCAGCCCAAAAUCUAGAAGAGACAAGAGCUUGAACAAAGAAAUAAUCCCAGCAGAUAAGAAAGAAGAGAAAAAAUUGGUCCUCUCCAAACGCAACAAUGUUGCCGAGUCCAGAUCAAACUUGAGGGCUUCAAAUCAAGAUAAGCCCCAAGAGAGUGUGCCAGACAGUGGAUCUCUAAAAAAAAUUGACAACAAGAAUCAAUAUGUAGACAGUGCAAAAAGUAAGUUAGAAAAGUUGGAAGAAGCCUCUGCGAAUAAAAUGAAUUUCAAUGGAAAUUCGUCACAAAAUGAUGCCAGCGGCUUCAAAAAUACUGUGAUUUCUCCUGAUGGGAAAAGCAAGUUCCCAAAUGAUUGGAAUGACAACAGAAGCAGAAGUUAUCCGCUGGCUGCUGCCUUGGGUUCCAGACCAGAUGGUUUUUUGAAGAACACGAAUACCUUAAGGCAUGAAGCAAGUAGUAGCUCUAGCUCUGCAUCAAAAACUUCCUAUGGUCUCCAUCAAAAUGAGACGUUCCCCGCAAAAACUCAGAAUUCCGUCUCAAGUCCAAUGGGGGCAAGCUCCUCAUCACAAGUUCAGGAUUCAAAAUCAAUUAACAAUCAAAUAACUAACUUCCUCUACCAGACACCAGUUAAACCAUCAAAAGAUCAUGUUGACAUAAUGAAGAACACCUCGAACAGCUCUGUCUCGUCCAGAAAUUUAAAUCUUACUCCAAAUUCUGUUGGGACAGCCUUGAACUGCCCCAUCAAAGAAACGAGUACUCUCCAAACAAGUGCAAAUCCCUUGAACGCCGUAAAAGAUACGAAUAUCCAGGUUGAGACCGGAAAUAACAGUGCUCUUGUUCAGCAAAGUUGUUCCAGUGUGUCAAAUUUACCGCCCAACAAAAGUCCAGAGCUCCCACGAAUACCAAACAGCGAUCCAAGCAAGAUCCCUAACAAUCCUCGGACAUAUUUCAAUCGCAGUCUUGCUGCUGCACAUUUAAAAUCACAUUCUUCAGGUAUGUCUGGCAGUAAAAAUGUAUUCAUGCGAGCCACAGAUGAGAAGCAAGUUAAUGAAAUUCUGAAACCAGUAAACAAAGACACUGAAUCAGCUACCACUCAUCCUAAAAAGGAUGUUGAUUCAAACACACCCAUGUCAGAUCUUGUAAAGAAGUCUUCAAGUAAAGAGAAAGACUCGCUUGUUAUAUCGCCAGCCUCCGAACCAGUCGCAGAUGCAAGUAGUGCUUCGAAAGAACCAACAGCCUCCGCUUCAGUCAAUCUCAGUGCAUCUUGGAAGAAUGCAUUUAAAAAUGUGAAGUUACCAAAACCAUUUGCUAGUGUACCAAAACUCCCAUGGAUAGAAUGCAUGGAUCAAGAAACACUCGGCUCCGUUGAGGCUGAACAAACCAAAUGA
RNAcentral lists this long non-coding RNA (1635 nucleotides) under Bemisia tabaci. RNAcentral's name for it is "lncRNA ENSSSA3NGG002205". The record is from RNAcentral. Lineage: Eukaryota; Metazoa; Arthropoda; Insecta; Hemiptera; Aleyrodidae.